RNAcentral lists this ribosomal RNA (468 nucleotides) under uncultured bacterium. Its description in RNAcentral is "partial 16S ribosomal RNA". It matches the Rfam family "Bacterial small subunit ribosomal RNA", at positions 28 to 507 of the family's 1533-position model. The record is from RNAcentral.
GAUGAACGCUGGCGGCGUGCUUAACACAUGCAAGUCGAACGAUGAGGCCCAGCUUGUUUGGUGGGUUAGUGGGGAACGGGUGAGUGACACGCGAGUGUCAUGCCCUCAUGUCUGUGGUAUGACUGGAGGACACGGUGUAUUACAGCGUAUGGGAGUUCCUGCCGCGGGGUGUGUUGGAGAGAUUUACGGCGGUUGGGGAUGGACUCGCGGCAUAUCAGCUUGUUGGUGGGGUUGUGGCUCACCAAGGCGACGACGGGUAGCCGGCCUGAGAGGGUGACCGGCCACACUGGGACUGAGACACGGCCCAGACUCCUACGGGAGGCAGCAGUGGGGAAUAUUGCACAAUGGGCGCAAGCCUGAUGCAGCGACGCCGCGUGAGGGAUGACGGCCUUCGGGUUGUAAACCGCUUUCAGUAGGGAAGAAGCGAAAGUGACGGUACCUGCAGAAGAAGCACCGGCUAACUACGUG